RNAcentral lists this ribosomal RNA (366 nucleotides) under uncultured Geobacteraceae bacterium. Its description in RNAcentral is "bacterial SSU rRNA". It matches the Rfam family "Bacterial small subunit ribosomal RNA", at positions 466 to 831 of the family's 1533-position model. The record is from RNAcentral. Lineage: Bacteria; Pseudomonadati; Thermodesulfobacteriota; Desulfuromonadia; Geobacterales; Geobacteraceae.
UGUUUGACGGUACCUAUAAAGGGAGCACCGGCUAACUCCGUGCCAGCAGCCGCGGUAAUACGGGGGGUGCAAGCGUUGUUCGGAAUUAUUGGGCGUAAAGCGCGUGUAGGCGGUCUGAUUAGUCUGAUGUGAAAGCCCUGGGCUCAACCCAGGAAGUGCAUUGGAUACUGUCAGACUUGAAUACGGGAGAGGGUAGUGGAAUUCCUAGUGUAGGAGUGAAAUCCGUAGAUAUUAGGAGGAACACCGGUGGCGAAGGCGGCUACCUGGACCGAUAUUGACGCUGAGACGCGAAAGCGUGGGUAGCAAACAGGAUUAGAUACCCUGGUAGUCCACGCCGUAAACGAUGAGAACUAGGUGUCGCGGGUA